GACGAACGCUGGCGGCGUGCCUAAUACAUGCAAGUCGAACGAGAGCGACCGGUGCUUGCACUGGUCAAUCUAGUGGUGAACGGGUGAGUAACACGUGGGUAACCUGCCCAUCAGAGGGGGAUAACAUCCGGAAACGGAUGCUAAAACCGCAUAGGCCUUCGAACCGCAUGGUUUGAAGAGGAAAAGAGGCGCAAGCUUCUGCUGAUGGAUGGACCCGCGGUGCAUUAGCUAGUUGGUGAGGUAACGGCUCACCAAGGCCGUGAUGCAUAGCCGACCUGAGGGGGUGAUCGGCCACAUUGGGACUGAGACACGGCCCAAACUCCUACGGGAGGCAGCAGUAGGGAAUCUUCCGCAAUGGACGCAAGUCUGACGGAGCAACGCCGCGUGAGUGAAGAAGGUUUUCGGAUCGUAAAACUCUGUUGUUAGAGAUGAACAAGUGCUAGAGUAACUGUUAGCGCCUUGACGGUAUCUAACCAGAAAGCCACGGCUAACUACGUG
This 498-nucleotide ribosomal RNA is filed under the name uncultured bacterium. Its description in RNAcentral is "partial 16S ribosomal RNA". It matches the Rfam family "Bacterial small subunit ribosomal RNA", at positions 28 to 507 of the family's 1533-position model. The record is from RNAcentral.